CUUGUUAUCACUGAAAAAAAUGCCAAGCAAAUCUUACUUGAUGUGGCACACAAAGAAAUUGUGCAAGAUUCAGCUUACAUAGCGGAGUGUUUGAGUCCAGUGUUGAAAGAACUGAAACUGCCACCAGGAGGACUGAAUGAACUGAUGAUCAGCCUUACUCCAACAGCUAGGAAAGUUGUAGCCAUACUAAAACAUGAAACACUCAACAACAGAGAAAGCCAGAUCAUGGAUUAUCUGAAGAGGUUUAUCAAGAACUCCAGUGAUGUUCGGCUCAGGAAGUUUCUGCGUUUUUGCACAGGAGCUGAUCUCCUUGUUGCAAAGUUUAUUCAUGUCUGGUUCGUUCAGCCAAAGAGUUUCUUCACACGAAGUCCCCAGUCCCACACCUGUGGAUGUGUGUUGGAAGUUCCAAAUAAUUAUACUUCGUACCUUGAGCUUGCAGAGGAGUUUGCAAAUGUCCUUGAUGCAAACAUAUGGGUGAUGGAUAUUGCAUAAGGGUGGUCAGACAGUAUGUGCAGCAGCAGCACCCGCAGGACCAUGUGAUUCCAUCUAACACUCGUUUCUUGCAAUAUACAAUAUUAAUUAUUGCAUCUUGCACAUCCAUAUAAUGUGUCAUAAAAUGCACAGAUGUUGUUACAGCAGUGCUUUAAUGUAAAGGUAUAUGAUUUUAUAGAUUCAAAUUUAAAUUGUUCUUACAAAGUUUACAAAAAAACUGUUAGAUGUUCAUUAAUUAGAAGUUUAUUAAUUAAUGCUGUUCUACUGAAUACAGUUUUUUAAAAUUAGUUACUGUAUCUUGCACAUCCAUAUAAUGUGCCAAAAUGCGUAGAUGUUGUUACAGCAGUGUUACAAUGUUUAGGUAUACGAUUUUAUAGAUUCAAAUUCA
Molecule: long non-coding RNA, 880 nt
Organism: Paramormyrops kingsleyae
Lineage: Eukaryota; Metazoa; Chordata; Actinopteri; Osteoglossiformes; Mormyridae
Source: RefSeq, a predicted model, not a curated record